Molecule: transfer RNA, 82 nt
Filed under: Canis lupus dingo (dingo)
Lineage: Eukaryota; Metazoa; Chordata; Mammalia; Carnivora; Canidae
Rfam family: tRNA
About the family: Transfer RNA (tRNA) molecules are approximately 80 nucleotides in length. Their secondary structure includes four short double-helical elements and three loops (D, anti-codon, and T loops).
Source: Rfam by way of RNAcentral
GCCUGAUGGCUCAGUGGUUGAGCAUCUGCCUUUGGCCCAGGGUGCGAUCUCAGAGUCGCAGGAUCGAAUCCUGCAUCGGGCU